AUGGUCCAGGAACAACGCGCUGCGUGCGGACCCAGCAGCCAGCGGUGCGAUCACCGGGACUUUCUGACGCCGCGGUCCCUGCGGCCGCUGCACGAAGCUCCCUGCUUUGUGGAGUUUUACCUCCAAUCAGUUUUGUCCAGGGACUUGCAAGGAUCAACUGUCAGCCAGGAUUAUCUAAACAAGAAAAUACACAGGCAUACACCCACCACACAGGAGUGUGAACACACACACGCACACACACACACAAACACACACGCAGAUCUCCUGAGACCUGAAAUUCUACCAACAGCAAAUUAUAUGCUCUGCGUGUAAAGACCGGCUCCUUCCCUGGAUCCCUGUUAAGAUAACUGUACACAGGGUAUCAUAAAGGUCACGAGGGAAAAGGCUGUGGAGGAUCAAUGGAAUGCCCAUCUCCCACGUCCUGUGCUGGAAGAAAGGUGCACUCAAUAUGGCUCAGAUAGGUGCUAAGCCACAACUCAACACUGAAGGAAAUUGAAAAUAAUUUCAAAUAAUCAAAAUUAUAAUGGAAAAUUUAAUAACCAUGAUAAGCAGUAAAUAGCCAUAUUUACUGAUACGUAAUAAUAAAGCCUAACAGAUAUUUUCUAAGUCCAGAAAUAAAAGUUAAUGGUGG
Molecule: long non-coding RNA, 631 nt
Filed under: Fukomys damarensis (Damara mole-rat)
Lineage: Eukaryota; Metazoa; Chordata; Mammalia; Rodentia; Bathyergidae
Description: lncRNA (ENSFDAG00000025498.1)
Source: RNAcentral